This 486-nucleotide ribosomal RNA is filed under the name uncultured bacterium. RNAcentral's name for it is "bacterial SSU rRNA". It matches the Rfam family "Bacterial small subunit ribosomal RNA", at positions 28 to 526 of the family's 1533-position model. The record is from RNAcentral.
GACGAACGCUGGCGGCGUGCUUAACACAUGCAAGUCGAACGAUGAGGCGGUGCUUGCACCGCGGAUUAGUGGCGAACGGGUGAGUAACACGUGAGUAACCUGCCCUUGGCUCUGGGAUAAGCGCUGGAAACGGUGUCUAAUACUGGAUAUGACUUCUUGCCGCAUGGUGAGGGGUGGAAAGAUUUUUUCGGCCAUGGAUGGGCUCGCGGCCUAUCAGCUUGUUGGUGAGGUAGUGGCUCACCAAGGCGACGACGGGUAGCCGGCCUGAGAGGGUGACCGGCCACACUGGGACUGAGACACGGCCCAGACUCCUACGGGAGGCAGCAGUGGGGAAUAUUGCACAAUGGGCGCAAGCCUGAUGCAGCAACGCCGCGUGAGGGAUGACGGCCUUCGGGUUGUAAACCUCUUUUAGUAGGGAAGAAGCGAAAGUGACGGUACCUGCAGAAAAAGCACCGGCUAACUACGUGCCAGCCGCCGCCGUAAAAC